Lynx canadensis (Canada lynx) is the source of this 1842-nucleotide long non-coding RNA. RefSeq lists it as uncharacterized. The record is from RefSeq and is a predicted model, not a curated record. The transcript is spliced from 4 exons. Lineage: Eukaryota; Metazoa; Chordata; Mammalia; Carnivora; Felidae.
AAACGCUGUCAAAGACAUCGAAACAAGUUAAGAGUUUGGGACAUUAGUUAUGUGUUUUCCUUAUGGGCCUUGAAAGAAGGAAGAGGAAGGUGAUUCCCAUUGUAACUAAUAUGCUACUUUGCAUAUUACUGUCAAACCUGCCAGGUCACAGUUUAAUGUGCUUAACAACUUCAUGUUCUCAAUCAUAAGAGGUAACAUCCUGUCACCAAGCUUGAGUAUCUGUUCUCUUUCGAUAUGGAAAGAUUCAAAUUAAUGGUGGGUGAGUUGACUCGCAUGAAACUGGCUGCCUAGCAAGACUGGAAUGUAUAAAAGUGCUGUUUACCUCAAACGAUACGUCCUCGGAGACAAUUUACCAUACUACAAAGAUCAAGAAAAUGGAAGAUGAACGUAGAGGAGAAAAGUUAAACCUCAGAGAAAUUAAGUAUGCCCUGGACUCUAAGGCAUCUUGCUAAUAAUUGACAGGGCUGACAUUUGACUCUUGGUCUGACACGAGAGCCAAUAUACUUUGAAAUAUGUCACAGAUCCUCACAUUGCAGACUCAUCUGGGCCAAGGUAAUCCCCGUAAAAGAGAACACAAAGCUGGGCCACCGGCCAUGGUUGCCUGAGGAUAUAGACCUUUGGUCGGACAAGGGUUACAGGUUCGUAACAAACUGAGACACACACACACAGGACUCGAAGGAAGGAUCAGAAGGAAAGUCGAAUUGCUGUGGAGCUGGAUUGAGAACAAUAUUUGGACCCUGAAGGGGCUUACCAAUACACGGCCUCAUGGUGUGCACUGACUUUCCAGAUCUGUCUGUCACAGGCCCCUGCCCUGACCAGCAGAAACUUCCCAGGAACUUCGACAGAUGGAGAAGAGAACUUCCACCCCUUGGCAAGGCCUCAGUUUCAAGCAUCUCAAAAACUGAGAAUCACCAUCAAAUGGGAGGCUCUAAAGGACAAAUACUGCUUGGUGGCCAAUCACAUGGACAGCUCCCCUGCCCAGCUUCUGGCUUCAAGGGAUCCAUACCACGUGAUCUUUAUUUUACAGGCAGCUUAGAACUGGAAACAAUCUGACAAUUCUCUCGAUGACAAGUCUAGUGCUUAGUGGCAGAUUUUGUCAUAUAUACGUGAACCCCAAUUGUUUACUCAAUUCUUCAAGAAUCCAAAUAUUGCAUUUAAUUUUCUAUCCCACAGCAUGGUCAGAAAUGCAAUCGGUUUUGCAACUUUCACAUCUACCAUACCAAAAAGUACUUUGAACAACGUUUAUGGGUCUCUCCCACAAACGCCAAUGGAAAAUUAUUGCCAGCAAGAGGCUUACCUCCUGGCUACCAUCUGCCCUGUUUGAAACAUUUCAAUCUCGGAUUGCAGGGGUUUUUUACAACUCGCUUCAGGGCUUUGGGGAAGACACUCUGCUUUGCCAACAGCAGGCUCCACUCUCUUUCCUGAAGUCUGUACCGCUUGUGAGCUGUUGGUAUUUCUUCAGGACCAUCGGCACAGGCACAGAGUGAUCGGAGGAUUGAGUCUUCAUGCCUGGUUAAAGAGAGAGAUUGGAAAGAGUGUUUAGCUGAUCAGAAAGGAAAUCUCUAACCCUUGCUACCCAGAACUGAACCGGUAUAAACUGGCACAUUCAAAAGAAGCUACUGGGUUUACUUAACAUUCCACUUGGUUCCCUGUUGAGAGUUCAAAGCAUGCUAUUGCUUAGUCCAGAGAAAACUAGUAAAUAGCGGGGUGUCGAAUAUUAUAUGAUAUAUAGCUUUUUUUGUAAUAGUAUUUACACAGAACCUGUCAGCAUAUUAACACAAGGCAUUUUCACAGUAAGCUAUUUUAGAAGCGUACAGGAGAAUGAAUAUGUAAUUUUGAUUU